CCUCCAUUUCAGCCGUGCAUCUCAAAGAGCAAGAACCAAACUUGCUUCAUCAAUUUUCCUUCAUCAUUUCUUCACCAAAUCUUCUCCAAAUCACACCAAAAUUUAACUACACUUAACUAAUCACUUGGAGAGCACUUUGAGCUAGGAAAGGAGGCUGUUCUCAUGAUUUUUCUUUGGCUCAAGAAGGCCGAAAAUUUCCGCCUUGGACAUCUAGUGAAGCGCACACGAGGACCUUCAAGAGGAUCCGACGGAGGACACUUGAAUUUCAAAUUGAACCUACUUGCUCUUGUUGCUUGGGAAUUGAGCAGAAAACAAUAAAAAAUGAGGGACUUUCUGGAGACAAUUAAGACUUCAAACAAUCGGGCCCACAUGGUGCUACAAACGGAUUGCAUUUCCUUUGCUGAUUAGGAGAUUGGAGUCCUACUAGUACUAGGAAACAAAAAGGAAGGAAUCCCUCAAGUAGUGCUAGAAGCUUUUUGCUGUUGCUUGCUCCUUAUCCGG
Long non-coding RNA from Coffea eugenioides, 501 nucleotides. RefSeq lists it as uncharacterized. The record is from RefSeq and is a predicted model, not a curated record. NCBI's taxonomy places the organism in Eukaryota, Viridiplantae, Streptophyta, Magnoliopsida, Gentianales, Rubiaceae. The transcript has 3 exons.